AGAGUUUGAUCCUGGCUCAGGAUGAACGCUGGCGGCGUGCUUAACACAUGCAAGUCGAACGGGAAAUACUUUAUUGAAACUUCGGUCGAUUUAAUUUAUUUCUAGUGGCGGACGGGUGAGUAACGCGUGGGUAACCUGCCCUGUACUGGGGGACAACAGUUGGAAACGACUGCUAAUACCGCAUAAGCGCACGGGAUCGCAUGAUCGUGUGUGAAAAACUCCGGUGGUACAGGAUGGACCCGCGUCUGAUUAGCUGGUUGGUGAGGUAACGGCCCACCAAGGCAACGAUCAGUAGCCGGCCUGAGAGGGUGAACGGCCACAUUGGGACUGAGACACGGCCCAAACUCCUACGGGAGGCAGCAGUGGGGAAUAUUGCACAAUGGGGGAAACCCUGAUGCAGCGACGCCGCGUGAGUGAAGAAGUAUUUCGGUAUGUAAAGCUCUAUCAGCAGGGAAGAAAAUGACGGUACCUGACUAAGAAGCCCCGGCUAACUACGUGCCAGCAGCCGCGGUAAUACGUAGGGGGCAAGCGUUAUCCGGAUUUACUGGGUGUAAAGGGAGCGUAGACGGCAUGGCAAGUCUGAAGUGAAAUGCGGGGGCUCAACCCCUGAACUGCUUUGGAAACUGUCAGGCUGGAGUGCAGGAGAGGUAAGUGGAAUUCCUAGUGUAGCGGUGAAAUGCGUAGAUAUUAGGAGGAACACCAGUGGCGAAGGCGGCUUACUGGACUGUAACUGACGUUGAGGCUCGAAAGCGUGGGGAGCAAACAGGAUUAGAUACCCUGGUAGUCCACGCCGUAAACGAU
RNAcentral lists this ribosomal RNA (801 nucleotides) under uncultured bacterium. Its description in RNAcentral is "bacterial SSU rRNA". It matches the Rfam family "Bacterial small subunit ribosomal RNA", at positions 8 to 810 of the family's 1533-position model. The record is from RNAcentral.